GUAACCUGCCCAGAAGUAGGGGAUAACACCUGGAAACAGAUGCUAAUACCGUAUAACAGAGAAAACCGCAUGGUUUUCUUUUAAAAGAUGGCUCUGCUAUCACUUCUGGAUGGACCCGCGGCGUAUUAGCUAGUUGGUGAGGUAAAGGCUCACCAAGGCAGUGAUACGUAGCCGACCUGAGAGGGUAAUCGGCCACAUUGGGACUGAGACACGGCCCAGACUCCUACGGGAGGCAGCAGUAGGGAAUCUUCCACAAUGGACGCAAGUCUGAUGGAGCAACGCCGCGUGAGUGAAGAAGGGUUUCGGCUCGUAAAGCUCUGUUGUUAAAGAAGAACGUGGGUAAGAGUAACUGUUUACCCAGUGACGGUAUUUAACCAGAAAGCCACGGCUAACUACGUGCCAGCAGCCGCGGUAAUACGUAGGUGGCAAGCGUUAUCCGGAUUUAUUGGGCGUAAAGCGAGCGCAGGCGGUCUUUUAAGUCUAAUGUGAAAGCCUUCGGCUCAACCGAAGAAGUGCAUUGGAAACUGGGAGACUUGAGUGCAGAAGAGGACAGUGGAACUCCAUGUGUAGCGGUGAAAUGCGUAGAUAUAUGGAAGAACACCAGUGGCGAAAGCGGCUGUCUGGUCUGCAACUGACGCUGAGGCUCGAAAGCAUGGGUAGCGAACAGGAUUAGAUACCCUGGUAGUCCAUGCCGUAAACGAUGAUUACUAAGUGUUGAGGGUUUC
RNAcentral lists this ribosomal RNA (725 nucleotides) under Pediococcus pentosaceus. Its description in RNAcentral is "bacterial SSU rRNA". It matches the Rfam family "Bacterial small subunit ribosomal RNA", at positions 121 to 833 of the family's 1533-position model. The record is from RNAcentral. Lineage: Bacteria; Bacillati; Bacillota; Bacilli; Lactobacillales; Lactobacillaceae.